Eubalaena glacialis (North Atlantic right whale) is the source of this 211-nucleotide long non-coding RNA. RefSeq lists it as uncharacterized. NCBI's taxonomy places the organism in Eukaryota, Metazoa, Chordata, Mammalia, Artiodactyla, Balaenidae. The record is from RefSeq and is a predicted model, not a curated record. The transcript has 3 exons.
UAUCACAUAGAGCCAAUGGUCCAGAUCAUUGAAAUUUACAAGAUGAGGAAGCGCAAGGCCAGAAUAGUUCAGCGAAUUGCCCCGAAAGUCAGUUAAAUGUAGGAGGAGCUUCAAGAUGGCGGAGGAGUAAGACGCGGAGAUCACCUUUCUCCCCACAAAUACAUCAGAAAUACAUCUACAUGUGGAACAACUCCUACAGAACACCUACUGA